RNAcentral lists this ribosomal RNA (228 nucleotides) under uncultured bacterium. RNAcentral's name for it is "partial 16S ribosomal RNA". It matches the Rfam family "Bacterial small subunit ribosomal RNA", at positions 524 to 751 of the family's 1533-position model. The record is from RNAcentral.
UACGUAGGGUGCGAGCGUUGUCCGGAAUUACUGGGCGUAAAGAGCUCGUAGGUGGUUUGUCGCGUUGUUCGUGAAAACCGGGGGCUUAACCCUCGGCGUGCGGGCGAUACGGGCAGACUGGAGUACUGCAGGGGAGACUGGAAUUCCUGGUGUAGCGGUGGAAUGCGCAGAUAUCAGGAGGAACACCGGUGGCGAAGGCGGGUCUCUGGGCAGUAACUGACGCUGGAG